AGCUGGUAACCAUAAUUCUCAGCAAACUGACACAAGAACAGAAAACCAAAUGCCACAUGUUCUCAUUCAUAAGUGGGUGUUGCACAAGGAGAACACAUGGACACAGGGAGAAACAUCACACCUUGGGGUCUGUUGGUGGGGGUGAAGGGGAAAGAGAGCA
This is a long non-coding RNA of Sapajus apella (tufted capuchin), 160 nucleotides long. RefSeq lists it as uncharacterized. The record is from RefSeq and is a predicted model, not a curated record. The transcript is spliced from 3 exons. NCBI's taxonomy places the organism in Eukaryota, Metazoa, Chordata, Mammalia, Primates, Cebidae.